UCGGGUGUGGUGUAAUGGCUAACAUCGUUGACUCUCACUGCUCAGCAGUGGACAUCUCAACAGCUCCGGGUUCGAUUCCCGGCAUCCGAG
This 90-nucleotide transfer RNA is filed under the name Thermothelomyces thermophilus ATCC 42464. RNAcentral describes it as "Myceliophthora thermophila ATCC 42464 tRNA". It matches the Rfam family "tRNA". From Rfam's summary of the family: Transfer RNA (tRNA) molecules are approximately 80 nucleotides in length. Their secondary structure includes four short double-helical elements and three loops (D, anti-codon, and T loops). Further hydrogen bonds mediate the characteristic L-shaped molecular structure. tRNAs have two regions of fundamental functional importance: the anti-codon, which is responsible for specific mRNA codon recognition, and the 3' end, to which the tRNAs corresponding amino acid is attached (by aminoacyl-tRNA synthetases). tRNAs cope with the degeneracy of the genetic code in two manners: having more than one tRNA (with a specific anti-codon) for a particular amino acid; and 'wobble' base-pairing, i.e. permitting non-standard base-pairing at the 3rd anti-codon position. Lineage: Eukaryota; Fungi; Ascomycota; Sordariomycetes; Sordariales; Chaetomiaceae. The record is from Rfam by way of RNAcentral.